GGUUAAGUGAAUAAGGGCGCACGGUGGAUGCCUUGGCACUAGGAGCCGAUGAAGGACGGGACUAACACCGAUAUGCUUUGGGGAGCUGUAAGUAAGCUAUGAUCCAGAGAUUUCCGAAUGGGGGAACCCAAUAUCUUUUAUAGGAUAUUACUUUUCAGUGAAUACAUAGCUGAUUAGAGGUAGACGCAGAGAACUGAAACAUCUUAGUACCUGCAGGAAGAGAAAGAAAAUUCGAUUCCCUGAGUAGCGGCGAGCGAAACGGGAAGAGCCCAAACCAACAAGCUUGCUUGUUGGGGUUGUAGGACUCCAAUAUGGUAGUCUGUUAGUAUAGUUGAAGGAUUUGGAAAAUUCCGCUAAAGAGGGUGAAAGCCCCGUAGACGAAAUGCUAACAACACCUAGGAGGAUCCUGAGUACGGCGGAACACGAGAAAUUCCGUCGGAAUCCGCGGGGACCAUCCCGCAAGGCUAAAUACUCCCUAGUGACCGAUAGUGAACCAGUACCGUGAGGGAAAGGUGAAAAGCACCCCGGAAGGGGAGUGAAAUAGAUCCUGAAACCGUGUGCCUACAACAAGUCAAAGCUCGUUAAUGAGUGAUGGCGUGCCUUUUGUAGAAUGAACCGGCGAGUUACGAUUGCAUGCGAGGUUAAGUCGAAGAGACGGAGCCGCAGCGAAAGCGAGUCUGAAUAGGGCGAAUGAGUAUGUAGUCGUAGACCCGAAACCAUGUGAUCUACCCAUGUCCAGGUUGAAGGUGCGGUAAAACGCACUGGAGGACCGAACCCACGUACGUUGAAAAGUGCGGGGAUGAGGUGUGGGUAGCGGAGAAAUUCCAAACGAACUUGGAGAUAGCUGGUUCUCUCCGAAAUAGCUUUAGGGCUAGCCUCGGAAUUGAGAAUGAUGGAGGUAGAGCACUGUUUGGACUAGGGGCCCAUCUCGGGUUACCGAAUUCAGAUAAACUCCGAAUGCCAUUCAUUUAUAUCCGGGAGUCAGACUGCGAGUGAUAAGAUCCGUAGUCGAAAGGGAAACAGCCCAGACCACCAGCUAAGGUCCCAAAAUAUAUGUUAAGUGGAAAAGGAUGUGGGGUUGCACAGACAACUAGGAUGUUGGCUUAGAAGCAGCCACCAUUUAAAGAGUGCGUAAUAGCUCACUAGUCGAGUGACCCUGCGCCGAAAAUGUACCGGGGCUAAACAUAUUACCGAAGCUGUGGACUACACCAUUAGGUGUAGUGGUAGGAGAGCGUUCUAAGGGCGUUGAAGGUCGAUCGUGAGGACGGCUGGAGCGCUUAGAAGUGAGAAUGCCGGUAUGAGUAGCGAAAGACAGGUGAGAAUCCUGUCCACCGUAUGACUAAGGUUUCCUGGGGAAGGCUCGUCCGCCCAGGGUUAGUCGGGACCUAAGCCGAGGCCGAUAGGCGUAGGCGAUGGACAACAGGUUGAUAUUCCUGUACCAGUUGUUUUUGUUUGAGCAAUGGAGGGACGCAGUAGGCUAAGGAAUGCAUGCGAUUGGAAGUGCAUGUCCAAGCAAUGAGUCUUGAGUAGAGUUAAAUGCUUUACUCUUUAAGGACAAGUUGUGACGGGGAGCGAAAUAAUAGUAGCGAAGUUCCUGAUGUCACACUGCCAAGAAAAGCUUCUAGUGAGAAAACAACUGCCCGUACCGUA
This 1650-nucleotide ribosomal RNA is filed under the name Enterococcus faecalis. RNAcentral's name for it is "partial 23S ribosomal RNA". It matches the Rfam family "Bacterial large subunit ribosomal RNA", at positions 1 to 1651 of the family's 2925-position model. The record is from RNAcentral. Lineage: Bacteria; Bacillati; Bacillota; Bacilli; Lactobacillales; Enterococcaceae.